GCUACUUCAUUGAUUUUAUCCUCACAGCAAUCUGAUCAGUGUUUUAUUUCCUUAUUUCAGACAGAAGGACUGAUUCCAAGGGCCUGGGCUGAGGACAUGGCUGAUAAGUAACAGUUGGGGUCCAACUCAAACUGCCUGACACAGGAGUCUGAACCCAUCCCUCCACCCCAUGCCCUUGUGGAACACAAGGGUGUGCCAUUAAUUUCUGGGUAACAAGGAGACAGAGAAUGGUUCUGCUCUCCAGCUGUGGCACAUUCCUAUUAUAUUCAAGGUUCAGCAUAAGAGAGAACUCAAAGUGCUACCUGGUUCAGGGAAAGAAUGAACCAUUAAUGACCAACCCUGUCAAUUUGAGAGAACAUGUCAACCUCUUUAUUUGGGCCUGUAAACAGAAAAAUCAAACCUAUGGUUUCCUGCUACCCAUCUGGAUUUCCAAACUGGCUUUCAGCCAUGAACUUUGUUCUUCCUGAUUAGAAACAGAGUCAUUGUUGGGAAGGGAGGUAGGGAGAGAGGAAGGAAAUAGUAAUGAAUCUUAUCAAGGCAACUUGCAACACUGGGAUUGUGUCAUUCAACUAGAGUGUUUUUAUAUAGGUAAGCAAACUAGUUGGCAUUUGUUUCUUUUCUUGGAAAAUCUUUGUGUCACAGCUAUUUUUUGUGUAAUACUAAGAUUUACUCAUCAACUUAUAUCAGUAGUCAUUUACCUUUCAGAAAAAGCAUACCACUACAGAGCUAUAUUAAAUUUUGUAGAUAUUUAGAAGAUAAUCUUGUGUUUUAUAAAAUAACUUUUAAGUUUACGUAUUCUGCUAUUAAACUUCAGUAAGCAAUCAAGCAAAAAUAGUAGCUGUAGCUUGUUGGCACUCCAAUUAAUUGAUUUUGUAGUAAUAAACUUAAAAGUAUUAUAUAAAAAUAUUACAUAAAUAAAGCAGUAAUAAACUGAAAGCAUUACAUCGUUUUCUAAAAGUCACAAAUAAAAUAUCAAUGUUUAUGUUUUAUUUCCCCAGGCUGUUUUUUUUUUUUUAAUUUUUGCAUGGGGAUUUAAUGAGGUUUGCUAAAAAGUGGAAUAGCAAGAGGGAAUUACCAUUUAUUCAAUCAUACCCUCUGUUGUUACCAUAACAAGAUUGACUGAUGUGCUAGGCACUUUACAUAUGUUAUCAUGUUUAAAUAGCUGAGUAAGUCCAGUGUCCUGAAAAAUGAGUAUCAUCAGUGGAUUGCAUGACAGAGAGUCAGCAACAGUUAAAUUUUCAGUUUUGUGCUGCUCAGUCUUCAAAUUAGUUUGCAAUUCUGAAUAUAUAUUCUGAAAACUUAGAAUGGGCACAUUGUCCUCAAGUUUGAAUUGUCGUCUUUCUUUUAUUUAGUCAAUAAAUAGUGUUUAUUGAGCAACUACAAUGUAAUAAAGUCUGGGGUAAUCACAUAAAAAUUUAAUUCUAAAAAAAUUUAAUUCUAAUAAAGUCAUAAUCAAAUGCAAUUGAAAAAAAUUUUUGUGGUACAAGCUCUUUCAUGA
This 1498-nucleotide long non-coding RNA is filed under the name Mustela putorius furo (domestic ferret). RNAcentral's name for it is "lncRNA (ENSMPUG00000030649.1)". Lineage: Eukaryota; Metazoa; Chordata; Mammalia; Carnivora; Mustelidae. The record is from RNAcentral.